Molecule: ribosomal RNA, 352 nt
Filed under: uncultured bacterium
Lineage: Bacteria
Description: partial 16S ribosomal RNA
Rfam family: Bacterial small subunit ribosomal RNA
Source: RNAcentral
CCUACGGGAGACAGCAGUGGGGAAUAUUGCGCAAUGGGCGAAAGCCUGACGCAGCGACGCCGCGUGAGGGAUGAAGGUCUUCGGAGCGGAAACCUCUGUCAGCAGGGAAGAAAGGUAAAGGAGCUAAACAGCAGUGAAUGGAAGGUACCGGCAAAGGAAGCACAGGCUAACUCCGUGCCAGCAGCCUCGGUAAGACUGAGGGUGCGAUCGUUAAUCGGAAUUACUGGGAGUAAAGCGCUCGUAGGCGGUAUGUCACGUCAAGGGUGAAAUCCCCGCGCUCAACCUGGGAACUGCCUUUGAAACUGGCAAACUGGAGUGUGUGAGAGGCUAGUGGAAUUCCUGGUGUAGCGGU